AUUGAACGCUGGCGGCAGGCUUAACACAUGCAAGUCGUGCGGUAACAGGAGAAGCUUGCUUCUCGCUGACGAGCGGCGGACGGGUGAGUAAUACUUAGGAAUCUACCUAGUAGUGGGGGAUAGCUCGGGGAAACUCGAAUUAAUACCGCAUACGACCUACGGGAGAAAGGGGGCAACUGGUUGCUCUCGCUAUUAGAUGAGCCUAAGUCGGAUUAGCUAGAUGGUGGGGUAAAGGCCUACCAUGGCGACGAUCUGCAGCUGGUCUGAGAGGAUGAUCAGCCACACCGGGACAGAGACACGGCCCGGACUCCUACGGGAGGCGGCAGUGGGGAAUAUUGGACAAUGGGGGCAACCCUGAUCCAGCCAUGCCGCGUGUGUGAAGAAGGCCUUUUGGUUGUAAAGCACUUUAAGCAGUGAAGAAGACUCUAGGGUUAAUACCCUUAGACGAUGACAUUAGCUGCAGAAUAAGCACCGGCUAACUCUGUGCCAGCCGCCGCCGUAA
This 502-nucleotide ribosomal RNA is filed under the name uncultured bacterium. Its description in RNAcentral is "partial 16S ribosomal RNA". It matches the Rfam family "Bacterial small subunit ribosomal RNA", at positions 30 to 523 of the family's 1533-position model. The record is from RNAcentral.